RNAcentral lists this ribosomal RNA (218 nucleotides) under uncultured Glomus. RNAcentral describes it as "partial small subunit ribosomal RNA". It matches the Rfam family "Eukaryotic small subunit ribosomal RNA", at positions 568 to 788 of the family's 1831-position model. The record is from RNAcentral. Lineage: Eukaryota; Fungi; Glomeromycota; Glomeromycetes; Glomerales; Glomeraceae.
CAGCAGCCGCGGUAAUUCCAGCUCCAAUAGCGUAUAUUAAAGUUGUUGCAGUUAAAAAGCUCGUAGUUGAAUUUCGGGAUCAAGUCGUCGGUCGUGCCUCGGUACGCACUGGUGACAUUGGUUUCUCCCUUCUGAAGAACCUUGAUGUCAUUAAUUUGGUGUCUUGGGGAAUCAGGACUGUUACUUUGAAAAAAUUAGAGUGUUUAACAGCAGGCACU